Molecule: ribosomal RNA, 535 nt
Filed under: Arthrobacter sp. CS13
Lineage: Bacteria; Bacillati; Actinomycetota; Actinomycetes; Micrococcales; Micrococcaceae
Description: bacterial SSU rRNA
Rfam family: Bacterial small subunit ribosomal RNA
Source: RNAcentral
GCUUGCUGGGGGGAUUAGUGGCGAACGGGUGAGUAACACGUGAGUAACCUGCCCUUGACUCUGGGAUAAGCCUGGGAAACUGGGUCUAAUACCGGAUAUGACUCCUCAUCGCAUGGUGGGGGGUGGAAAGCUUUUGUGGUUUUGGAUGGACUCGCGGCCUAUCAGCUUGUUGGUGGGGUAAUGGCCUACCAAGGCGACGACGGGUAGCCGGCCUGAGAGGGUGACCGGCCACACUGGGACUGAGACACGGCCCAGACUCCUACGGGAGGCAGCAGUGGGGAAUAUUGCACAAUGGGCGGAAGCCUGAUGCANCGACGCCGCGUGAGGGAUGACGGCCUUCGGGUUGUAAACCUCUUUCAGUAGGGAAGAAGCCGUGAGGUGACGGUACCUGCAGAAGAAGCGCCGGCUAACUACGUGCCACCAGCCGCGGUAAUACGUAGGGCGCAAGCGUUAUCCGGAAUUAUUGGGCGUAAAGAGCUCGUAGGCGGUUUGUCGCGUCUGCUGUGAAAGACCGGGGCUCAACUCCGGUUCUGCA